Molecule: long non-coding RNA, 928 nt
Filed under: Felis catus (domestic cat)
Lineage: Eukaryota; Metazoa; Chordata; Mammalia; Carnivora; Felidae
Description: lncRNA (ENSFCAG00000049699.1)
Source: RNAcentral
UUAUUUUUGAGAGACAGAGACAGCAUGAACGGUAUUUUAUAAACAUAGCAUAAUUGAGAAGUGAUGCCUCAUGCACACUAUUCAGUUUUCUUUCAAGGAAAAUGCAUAUUUGAAAUAUUGAAGCCUAUAACCAUGCAGCAAAGUAAAAUAAUCUUUCCAUUUGCACCAUGUUCAAGGCAAUGAGUUAACUGGAACAUACAUAUGUAAGUUAAAUGUUAAUUUGAAUUAUACAUCAGAUUUAUGAGGUCAUUUUGUAGCCCUAAUUAGUUGCCUUUGGAGGCAGGAAAGAAAUAACAAUUACAGUAUUUUAUUUAAUAAGCACUUAUAGAGUUCCAAGACCAGUUCUAAGCACUUUAAAAUAUUAACUCAUUCCUCAUAGCAACCCUGUGACAUAGAUAUUAUUAUUAUUAUUUCCAUUCUGUAGAGAAGGAAUUGAGGCAAUUGACAGAACUAAAAUUUGAAACCAGUCUAGCUCCAAAAUCUAGAAGUUUUGGCUCUCCAUCAUCAUGUGCUGCAGAGGGAGUGCCUGUGCCCAGAGAUGAAUCUGUGUUACUUUACUAUUUGGUGCUGAUGAAGACCAGAAAAAAAUCAGAUAUACUUCCUCAAGGAGUUUAUAUAACAUGUGCUGUAAGUAGACAGAAAUAAUUUUUAUGGGACACAUUUUGUAAUGGAUGCUGCUUCCCUGGUCCACCUAUUCUAUGGUGGAUGUCAAAAUUUGAUUAAAAUGGUUAAAUGAUACCUAUUCAAUUCACUUUUCUAUUUAUCAUAAUUCAUAAGAGCUUUAUUUCAGGAUUUAAUGAUAACAAAAAUAAUACUGAUAGUGGUGAUAUAUUGUAGUUACUUAAAAGCUUAUGCGAGCAUUAUCAUUUUAAACAAUGGAAUAGGGGUGCUUGGGUGGCUCAGUUGAUUCAGCAUCUGACUCUUGAUU